UACGGGGGGGGCAAGCGUUGUUCGGAAUUACUGGGCGUAAAGAGUGUGUAGGCGGUGCUCUAAGUUUGGUGUGAAAUCUCCCGGCUCAACUGGGAGGGUGCAUCGAAAACUGGAAUGCUAGAGGGUGGGAGAGGUAAGCGGAAUUCCUGGUGUAGCGGUGAAAUGCGUAGAUAUCAGGAGGAACACCUGUGGUGUAGACAGCUUACUGGACCACUUCUGACGCUGAGACACGAAAGCGUGGGUAGCAAACAGG
RNAcentral lists this ribosomal RNA (253 nucleotides) under uncultured bacterium. RNAcentral's name for it is "partial 16S ribosomal RNA". It matches the Rfam family "Bacterial small subunit ribosomal RNA", at positions 524 to 776 of the family's 1533-position model. The record is from RNAcentral.